UCCUAGGUUUUGAUGUUCUGUAACAGUAACAAUUCUCUUUGCAUAAUUUUUCUAUCUUUUUUCAGCUGAAACUAUAUGCUUUAACUCAUGUUCCUAGAUUUGUUAAACUAUUAUGUGAAAAUUGGGGAGAAAUCGUUUUAUAUUGAUUCAAACUUGUGACCGUUGGGAAAGUGUUGAACUCUGUGUUGUAUAUCUCACUGCUUUGGUCUUUCUUUGUUUCAAACUCCUAAAAAGUGUAUUGCCUUUUCUUUUUUGAAAAGGAGUGUGUAACGGUAACAGAUGGUAAGGAGACAGGAUGUGGAUUUCUAUCGCUGGUUUUCGAGGAAAGAGCUUCCGAGUUUGUGCAAGAAGUAUAGUUUGCCGGCUAAUAGAUCAACCUUGGAUAUGGCUGAAUCAUUGGUUUCUUACUUAGAGAAAAAUUGUUCCAACUCGGUAGGAUUUGGGAUUCAAGAUAGUUCAGGUGCACAUUCUAGAGUACCAGCGAGUAGAAAAAGAGAUUCUUUUGGUAACGAAUUGAAUAUAGCCAGAGGCGGUUGUUUUCAAGGUACAGUGGUUAGGGAACCAGACUUUAUCCUUGGGGAUAGUACACAAACUCAGGAACGAAAUGGUGGUUUGAUUGAUUCUGAAUGUGCUCCUUCAUAUAUGAGGAGACUGAAUGAAAAGGGUCCACUGGAUCCUCAGCUAGAAAACACAAUGAAAGAGGUAGACAGUAAUGAUAGACCUAGUUUUGAGUUUCAUGUUAGUUUGGAAGAGGGUAUUAGCCUUUCAGUUGAUCUUAAUUUCAAUCCAUCAGACUGGAUUAAUAGCUUGAGAAAUGAGGUCAAUGUAUAUGACAGAAAAUCUACACAUUCUUCUGAUCUUGGCAUUGAUAAUGCUACACAGUGUAAGAAACAGAAGAGUUUGGAGCAAGACAAGGAUGGGAAUGCAAGGAGAGAAUCAUCUAUUAAUCAAGCAAUGAAAGACAAUACUCAAGUACCUCCUGAUGAUCAUUCAAAUGGUGGACGCUCUCUAGCAACCAUACCCUGAUUCUUCAGGACCUGGCCAGAUUGCACCAUCUUGUGCUGAAUCGUAUAGCAAAAGCUGCUGUGUUGACAUGGACUGUGUUCGGGAGAAGUUGACAAGUGGUUAUGUUAUGGUUGCUGCAGAAGAGAAGCAGCCAGCUGGUGGUGAUCUCCUUCCGCAAAAUCCAUCCAUGGAGAGUUUUGAGAAGGUGGGAAACUCAAGUAGUGAUAUAUGUCCAAUGGAGCUGGUUCUGAGUUAUCAUCAUUAGAAGCAGAGGCUUAUCUCUCAAACCAGACGCGUUCUCCUCGCAAGACCAGUGGAUCCUCAAAUAUCUCUUCUUCAGAGCUCAUUAUUGACAGAGAGUCCACUAGCUAUUCUGAAUCAUUCAAGUUCCAGUACAGUGGAGGCAAGAACUGUCUGCCAGUGAAUACCGAAGAGCAGGAAAAGAGUGAAGUCUUAAGUGAGCAGGCAAGGUCCAAGUGACUUGUUUGAAUGGUGAAACAUCCACUGUGUUGUAUAAUAUUAGUUCAAGUGAUAGAGAAGGGCAAAUGUAAAGAUAGUCAAGGAGUGGCCUUUUUUCCUCGGACCAAGAGGUUUCUACCGCUGUUUUAUUUUUGAGGACACCGAAUAUAAGGAGAUUUCCUUUGAGAGCACUGGGUUGAAUAUCACUGAAGGGCUUUGCACUGACCUAGGGAGAAGUUAAUUUUAGUUCCAAGGUUGUUGUAGAUGUUCUCCUCUCUUUAUCGAGUGAAAGGUGGAUGUGAGGCGCUCCACCAAGAACCUAUUUUCUUAGUUCAAAAGACUACAACCGUGGCGCUCGUUGGUAAUCGAUUGGCUUCUCCUUCUUGCUCCUGACGCCGUUUUACUUGGGUUUUGAGGACAUCCCGCUGUGAAGGCAUCUCCCGCAUUAAGGCGGAGCUCUCUCUUGCCGAUUUGAGUCGCUUGUUUUCGAGGAGUCAUGACUCCUCCUGCGCUCCAUUUCCCUUGUUCCCUAGCUCCGACAGUUGGUUUAGUGUGCCCUCUGAGUCUUUGCCGCAUCUCAUGUGUCGCGUGGCCGGUUCGGGAGCCAAUUUGUACCGCCUACGCUUGACCAGUAACCCGAAUUUCCAUUGUCAGCAGCAUCGAUUUGGGUUAGUACUUUUAUCUACUGUCGAGAAAGCUUGGGUUUGUUUGGUUGACGUCCUCCUCCAGUAGUGUUCCGGGGUGGGAGCCAGACACCUCCGUUGAAGCUGAUUGGAGCCACUUCGAUGAUUGCUCGACUGAACUCUCCUUCAAGCUUUCUCUUGCUUCUUCAGGAUUGCUCCAGUUAUAGCAAGAAGCGCUUCGCACAGAGAGUCUCAUUCUGUUGUCUCUUGUUCUAUUGUGUCAUAUUAACUUCAAGCUUUCUAUUGAUAGAAGCUUGGACUUAAUAAUCUAGGUUCUUAAGGGUUUUUAAAAACUUUUUGCGGCUCCUUAGAAUCAAAUGGCUGUCUCAGUAGACCGUGGUUUCAGAUUCAUUUUGUAACCGAACCUUCAUUACUAGUAAUGACAUUUACAAUUUAGCAAAAAUAAACA
Molecule: RNA transcript, 2556 nt
Organism: Brassica napus (rape)
Lineage: Eukaryota; Viridiplantae; Streptophyta; Magnoliopsida; Brassicales; Brassicaceae
Exons: 7
Source: RefSeq, a predicted model, not a curated record